Long non-coding RNA from Phacochoerus africanus (Common warthog), 1234 nucleotides. RefSeq lists it as uncharacterized. NCBI's taxonomy places the organism in Eukaryota, Metazoa, Chordata, Mammalia, Artiodactyla, Suidae. The record is from RefSeq and is a predicted model, not a curated record. The transcript has 3 exons.
CCGACUUGGAUGCAGGAAGGAAGCGCAGGUGGCCUCUUACCCGGAUCCUCCCCUCCAGGGCCGAGACGACCUCUCCCAUCAUCCUCACCAGGUCCUCGUACUUGUAGGUGUUGUCCGUGAGCCACACGGCCUCGCGGAUGGUCAGGAUCUCUCUGCUGAUGAACCUGCAGGGUCGAGAAGGGGUCUGAGUGCGGAGCCCACCCCUCCCCAUGGGGCGGUCACUUUGGGCUUGAGCGACUGGGGGGGCCACCAAGGGGACCUCCAAAGGCCGCAGGAACUGCGGGGCUCGCAGGCGUUUCUGUGAAACGCACCCACGAGUGAUGUGACCAUCAGUCCUCAGGGACCCGAGGGGUGAGGGCUGGCCCUGCCUUGCGCCGGCUCCUGUGGCAAGAGCAUCAGCCGCUUCAAGCCAGAGGGCAGGGGAGCUGGGAAAAGCAGAGCCCGAGGCAGUCUAAAGCAGUGCCAACUGUCAGGGAACACGGCAGCCCAGCGAGGGCGGACUGGGCCAAGCCCUCGGCCACUGUCACGGGGACUCUGCAGCUCCCACGGUUGCGACUGGCUUAGCCAAGAGAGAGGACAGGAGCCGGGGUAUCUGCAGCCCGUCUGGUCCGGUGCCUCGGCCCCUGACUGCAAGGACAGGAGCACGCCGUGUGGAUGCAAGGAGGCUGAGGACCCAUCUGUUCAGCUCCUCUGGCGACAAGCCCUGGAACCCUGGGUUCCCAGAGCACAGUGGGAGGCACUGGACAGCGUGUGGCAAUCUGCUCACUGACCCUGAGCCCGUGCUCCCUCUGCCUGCGGACACACGGCCAUCCAGAGGCCACAUUUUCCAGUUCCCGUUGUGGCCACAUGGCUGAGCUCCCUGCAGAGGUGGUCGUGGCGGGUAGCAGGGAGCGAGACAGGAACCGGGGCUCCUUCAUGACCUCAAGAAACACAAGGAGUGUCCCAGCGACCCAGGCCUCUGGGUCACUGGGUGAGACACACCCAGCUCCUCGGUUUCUACCACCGUGUGUGGUGAGUCUGCUCCUCACCCCCCGAGCCUCACAGACCAGGGUGUGGUCGGGGAAGCCCUAUGCAGGGGAGAUGCAGGCAAGGUCUGGUUUAGGAAAACAAGAAAAUGCAAAAUGCACGGUGGGCCCUGCCAUCCACAUGGCUUCCAAAGGCAAAACUGAGGGAAGGUAUUUAGUUAAAGGAAGGUAGAGUUUUUUGUUUUGGUUUUGGUCUCUUGUCUUUUUAA